CCCUUUUCAGUGAGAUCUUUUUGGUGCCUCAAUAAAAUUCAAAGUCAAGGUAACAACACAUACAUGUGACAAGGUAGGAUCGCUUUAAGAAGUGUCCAAGCCAUGGAAAGCUUUUGCCUUUUGCCCCCACUACCAUCAAAAUCCAAUUAAACUAGGGUAACCAACUCCUUAGUGGAAGCUCCUGUGAGAAAUCCAAAGACUUGUGUAAUUUCAGCUAAAUGAAAAUCUUCACCAAUGUCAUCAAGAUCUCGCUCUCC
Molecule: unclassified non-coding RNA, 257 nt
Filed under: Hevea brasiliensis (rubber tree)
Lineage: Eukaryota; Viridiplantae; Streptophyta; Magnoliopsida; Malpighiales; Euphorbiaceae
Source: RNAcentral